GACGAACGCUGGCGGCGUGCUUAACACAUGCAAGUCGAGCGGUAAGGCCCUUUCGGGGGUACACGAGCGGCGAACGGGUGAGUAACACGUGGGUGACCUGCCCUCAGCUCUGGGAUAAGCCUGGGAAACCGGGUCUAAUACCGGAUAUGACUCCAUGACGCAUGUUGUGGGGUGGAAAGCCUUGUGCGGCUGAGGAUGGGCCCGCGGCCUAUCAGCUUGUUGGUGGGGUGANGGCCUACCAAGGCGACGACGGGUAGCCGGCCUGAGAGGGCGACCGGCCACACUGGGACUGAGAUACGGCCCAGACUCCUACGGGAGGCAGCAGUGGGGAAUAUUGCGCAAUGGGCGGAAGCCUGAUGCAGCGACGCCGCGUGGGGAUGACGGCCUCGG
Molecule: ribosomal RNA, 390 nt
Filed under: uncultured bacterium
Lineage: Bacteria
Description: bacterial SSU rRNA
Rfam family: Bacterial small subunit ribosomal RNA
Source: RNAcentral